GCCAGCCCGCUACAGAAACUUAAAGGAAGUUGACGGGGGCCCGGCACAAGCGGUGGAGCAUGUGGUUUAAUUCGAUGAUACGCGAGGAACCUUACCUGGGCUCAAAUGUAUGUUGACGUAUUCUGAAAGGGAUACUUCUUCGGACAAUAUACAAGGUGCUGCAUGGUUGUCGUCAGCUCGUGCCGUGAGGUGUCGGGUUAAGUCCCAUAACGAGCGCAACCCCUAUCAUUAGUUGCCAUCAGGUCAAGCUGGGGACUCUAAUGAAACUGCCUACGCAAGUAGUGAGGAAGGUGGGGAUGACGUCAAAUCAGCACGGCCCUUACGUCCAGGGCUACACACGUGCUACAAUGGUCGGUACAAAGGGUUGCCAAGCCGCGAGGUGGAGCUAAUCCCAUAAAACCGAUCGUAGUCCGGAUCGCAGUCUGCAACUCGACUGCGUGAAGUCGGAAUCGCUAGUAAUCGUGAAUCAGAAUGUCACGGUGAAUACGUUCCCGGGCCUU
This 500-nucleotide ribosomal RNA is filed under the name uncultured Sphingobacteriales bacterium. Its description in RNAcentral is "bacterial SSU rRNA". It matches the Rfam family "Bacterial small subunit ribosomal RNA", at positions 903 to 1382 of the family's 1533-position model. Lineage: Bacteria; Pseudomonadati; Bacteroidota; Sphingobacteriia; Sphingobacteriales. The record is from RNAcentral.